CAGUCCGGACUACAUCGGAGUUCCAGGCCAGCAUAGGCUAUGUAGUGCCAAGGCUUUCCCAAAAUCAAAUUAGCCUACAUACGUCAAACACUGGUACCAUACAUGGACUUUACAUGUUUCAUCUGUGACCUUUUGUUACCUUUUGUUACUGCAGAAGUUGCUGUGAUGUCAGUUAAAUACCCAGUGUGACAUGUACCUUACUUUACUCAGUCCCAGAGCAAGCACUGCACCCCAUUGAACUCAUGCACUGAAUGUUACUAGAAGUGUUUUAUUUUUCUGGCAUAACUUUGCUUGUAUUUAUGAAAUAGAUGGACAAGGCAGCAUUUCCUAUUUGAGGAGCUUCUAAAAAUCAAUGCCUUCUGAAUGAGAUACCAGGCCAUUAUGUCAAAAAUAUAUCAUUUCCCUAAAAACAGAUUGAAGUCUGUCUCAGAUGAGAGGUUUCACACAAUAUGAGACUUUUUAGAUUAUUAGAUUUUUAACAAUGCUUGGCUACCAAUCCUGUUUGCAUUAUUCCUGGGAGUCGCUUUUGAGAUGAUCCUCAUAAGAACUUGUGAAUUAUUUAAAAACAAGCUUGAGCUAUGGAAAAAUAGCAGUUCGUGUUCUCAAGAAGUAAGAAAUGAUUGACCAUUCUCUCAUUUUUUCUAAAGCACACAUAAGAAUAAUUUUAAAAAAUUUAACUUUGAUAGUUGGGCUAUUUCUCUAACAUUUUCAUUUUCUCCCUUGAAGCAGAAUGAAGAUGUUUUCCCAAAAGGAAUGACACUUGCUAUAGAGAGCUGGUCCAUUCCCCAAACAUCUUCAGCAGAAAGAGUUGAAAUCUUUUCAGAAAGAGUAACAACCAGCCCUCCAUCUGAGGAGAAUGGAGAUAACACUAGAAAAGGAACCUUUACAUCCAAUGAAUAUGAUGAAUAUCAAGGAAGCCAUUUUUUGAAAGCCACUCAUCUUUCAAAAGUAAAGAAAGUAUUCAUAAGUUCCUUUCACAGAUAUAUCCACAAAGUGAAUAUCCACAGAAUUAUCCACAAAGUGAACAUCAAACAAUAAAAUUUUCCUCCACUAA
Non-coding RNA from Cricetulus griseus (Chinese hamster), 1054 nucleotides. Lineage: Eukaryota; Metazoa; Chordata; Mammalia; Rodentia; Cricetidae. The record is from RefSeq and is a predicted model, not a curated record.